This 2098-nucleotide long non-coding RNA is filed under the name Suricata suricatta (meerkat). RNAcentral describes it as "lncRNA (ENSSSUG00005000387.1)". Lineage: Eukaryota; Metazoa; Chordata; Mammalia; Carnivora; Herpestidae. The record is from RNAcentral.
AGCGUUGUUGCCCCGAGUCAGCCCCGGGACCUGGGGGGCGGGGUCUGGAGGCGCGCAACGGGGGGUCUGGCUGCAGCCAGCUCAGCACUGGGCCAGAGGCCUGUCCCCCCGCUCGCCGUCUGCUUAUGGACAAGGAGGACGCACCUCUCUGACUCCCAGCCCCUGGAGCCCCCGGAGGCAGGCGCGCCGGCUCGCUGGGCCUGGGAGAGGCCGGGUCUCCGCGUCCUGGGCGUCCACCGGCGGACCCCUCCCCCCACCCGCCCCGCCCUGCUUGUACGUGAUGCGCGUCUGUGUCCUAGCGUGUGCGGUCUGCCGGGGAGCGUACGUCGUGGGGUCUGUGACCCUCGAAGGAAGCCGUCCUCCCUCAGGAGCGUCCUGCCGGCCCUGCCGUUGCCGCGAGCAGGGCUUCCCGCCAAGCGAGCCGAGGGGAGCAGGGCCUUGGCCCUGACGGCACAGCACAGCAGACUUGUAGCUCCUCUACUGUCAGAGCGACGUCCAAGCCACGGCGGCUUUGGAGGAAGUGGUGCUCCCUGCCUCUCGCCGUGUGGCCUCACCGGCGGGCUGCCCCCGCUCCCCGCCCGCCUGUGUCUCGGGGCGCGGCGUGCCCUCCGCGUCCUGUCCCAUCCAUCACCACCCGCGUCUCUGCGCACCAUCCUUCAGGAGCGAGAAGACUUCACACUUAGGCCGUUGGCUCUGCACACGGCCCCCCAGCAGAGCUCCUGUCCCGUGCACGCCCAGGUCCAGGGUGCAGGGACCCCCUCCCAGCCUCUCCCCACGGUACCCAGUGGGAACUAUGACGUCCACGCUACUCUGCAAGAGGAAAGUUGUCCUGUCCUGUGUGGCUUGUGAGCGACAUGAAGAUACUGUACAUAAUCCCUGUCAUAUUUUAUGGCCUGGAAACCUAGGCAUAUUGGUAUAACCUGGAGCGACAGAAAGCCUCAUGAACCAAAUUGGAAAUACAGGACUUGUGGGACGACAAAUACAAACAUCUGACUUCAGGGGCCCGGAUGGCUGAGGCAGCUGAGGUGGUGAUCUCGCGGUUCGCGAGUUCGAGCCCCGUGUCAGACUCUCUGCCAACAGUGAGGAGCCUGCUUGAGAUUCUCUCUCUCUCUCUCUCUCUCUCUCUCUCUCUCUCUCUCUCUCUCUCUCUCUUGUGCACACUCUCACAAAACUAAAUAAACAAUUUUUUAAAAAAGAAAAAUUUAACUUCAUGAAACUGAAAUGUCUAGAUGGCCUAAAAUACCGUAAUCAAAGUCAAAGGAUACAGGUUCACACGUAUUUGGGACAAAGGCUGCUGUCCAUGAUCUGAAGGACUACCAGCAGGCUCUUUUAAAUUUUUUUUUAAUUUUUUUAAUGUUUUAUUUAUUUUUGAUACAGAGAGAGAGAGAGCAUGAGAGGGGGAGGGGCAGAGAGAGAAGGAGACACAGAACCGGAAGCAGGCUCCAGGCUCUGAGCUAGCUGUCAGCACAGAGCCUGACGCGGGGCUGGAACCCACGAACACGAGAUCUGACCUGAGCUGAAGUCGGAAGCUCAACCGACUGAGCCACCCAGGCGCCCCACCCGGUGGGAAAGUGGGCGCAAGGAGCGCCGAGGGGCGGGGCGGUGCCGAUGAGAGGGAGGCUCCAGCUGCGGCACCGGCACCGUCACCGCCAGGGCCACGCCUUCCCAGCCACUGUGGCCCCCGGUGCUGCAACGUGUUGGAAAAUAGAAUCUAAGUUAAAAAUAGGACCUUCUUCGAGCUCUUGGUAACCCGUGCUUCAAUGCACGCAGCCCGACUGGCGGCAUCCGCGCGACUGUGGGCGCCGCCCCAGAGGGACGUGGACCGAACAUGAGCACCUCAGUCCUCCCCAGGAAGGGACUGCGUGUGGCCCUGUCCCCAGGCGGGUAGGGAGCUGGGCCUGCAGGGCGCGGGGACGCCUGCGCCUCCGUCCGUCCCUGCUUGUGGGCCUUGCUCUCAGCAGAAGACUGGAGGCUGGGCCGUCUUCCCCCUCGGUGUUGGGCGCUGAUAGCAAACUGUGGCCCCCGGGGGCUUCUUCCAAAUCACACACUUUUAGUAAAAACAAUAAAGUUGUAUUACUGACUUCAGAGAACACCUGCU